UGUUUCGGCUAGGGGGCCAUCCCGGCUUACCAACCCGAUGCAAACUGCGAAUACCGGAGAAUGUUAUCACGGGAGACACACGGCGGGUGCUAACGUCCGUCGUGAAGAGGGAAACAACCCAGACCGCCAGCUAAGGUCCCAAAGUCAUGGUUAAGUGGGAAACGAUGUGGGAAGGCCCAGACAGCCAGGAUGUUGGCUUAGAAGCAGCCAUCAUUUAAAGAAAGCGUAAUAGCUCACUGGUCGAGUCGGCCUGCGCGGAAGAUGUAACGGGGCUAAACCAUGCACCGAAGCUGCGGCAGCGACACUGUGUGUUGUUGGGUAGGGGAGCGUUCUGUAAGCCUGUGAAGGUGGCCUGUGAGGGUUGCUGGAGGUAUCAGAAGUGCGAAUGCUGACAUAAGUAACGAUAAAGCGGGUGAAAAGCCCGCUCGCCGGAAGACCAAGGGUUCCUGUCCAACGUUAAUCGGGGCAGGGUGAGUCGACCCCUAAGGCGAGGCCGA
This 497-nucleotide ribosomal RNA is filed under the name Salmonella enterica. RNAcentral describes it as "partial 23S ribosomal RNA". It matches the Rfam family "Bacterial large subunit ribosomal RNA", at positions 911 to 1405 of the family's 2925-position model. Lineage: Bacteria; Pseudomonadati; Pseudomonadota; Gammaproteobacteria; Enterobacterales; Enterobacteriaceae. The record is from RNAcentral. RNAcentral also lists the same sequence under 1 other name.